Molecule: long non-coding RNA, 235 nt
Filed under: Panax ginseng (ginseng)
Lineage: Eukaryota; Viridiplantae; Streptophyta; Magnoliopsida; Apiales; Araliaceae
Description: long non-coding RNA (PGIN_LNC001938)
Source: RNAcentral
CACUCGGUCUCUGAUGUUCUGCUUUCACUUUUUGACAGGUCAGACACUUGGCAACACACUCUACAACAUCACGUUUCAAAUUUGGCCACCAGAAAUGUUGUCAAAGAUCUUGAUACAUCUUGGUACUACCAGGGUGAAUCGAAUAUCGUGAAAUAUGAGUGUUGCUCAAAAUUUCUUCCUUAAUCUCUGGUACUGGUGGUACCCAAAUUCUAUUCUCAAAUCUUAGUAGUCCCUC